AUUAUCCGCUAGGGGGACCUUUUUAGAAGGUUGAGAUUAAAGUAGGACUUUAAGACCCUUGGAACCUGAUCUGGUUUAUACCAGCGUAGGGAAGUGGAGUUGCGGGAUC
This 109-nucleotide non-coding RNA is filed under the name Bacillus gobiensis. RNAcentral describes it as "TPP sequence". It matches the Rfam family "TPP riboswitch aptamer (THI element)". From Rfam's summary of the family: Vitamin B(1) in its active form thiamin pyrophosphate (TPP) is an essential coenzyme that is synthesised by coupling of pyrimidine and thiazole moieties in bacteria. The previously detected thiamin-regulatory element, thi box was extended, resulting in a new, highly conserved RNA secondary structure, the THI element, which is widely distributed in eubacteria and also occurs in some archaea. Lineage: Bacteria; Bacillati; Bacillota; Bacilli; Caryophanales; Bacillaceae. The record is from Rfam by way of RNAcentral.